GCAGUGCGCCGGCUGGGGCACUGCCCCCUCAGGCAAUGCCCCGCCGUUGCCUCGGGCUGCCACCGCCGGUCGAGGAGGCCCUCUUCUCUCGUUUUUCAUGCCGAACAUCUUUUUUUCCUCUUCACCAGAUUUUGCCACUUGGCGCAAAUUCAACGGUUUAAAAAUUCUAUAAAUAUGCUUUCCCACCCCAUUCUUUUCCACACUUCCAUUCUUCU
RNAcentral lists this long non-coding RNA (215 nucleotides) under Carica papaya (papaya). RNAcentral describes it as "long non-coding RNA (CPAP_LNC013173)". The record is from RNAcentral. Lineage: Eukaryota; Viridiplantae; Streptophyta; Magnoliopsida; Brassicales; Caricaceae.